RNAcentral lists this long non-coding RNA (545 nucleotides) under Homo sapiens (human). RNAcentral's name for it is "HSALNT0302018". Lineage: Eukaryota; Metazoa; Chordata; Mammalia; Primates; Hominidae. The record is from RNAcentral.
GCUAAUUUUUUUUUUUUUUUUAGUAGAGUCGGGUUUUUGCCAUGCUGGCCGGGCUGGCUGAUUUGAUAUUCUUGCGUUGACAGUGGCCCACCGGUGGAGCAGCUGCCCCCAGACCCCUUGACCCGGUGGUGCUUCCACCCUGCCGGAAGCACCUUGUGUGGCCCCGCCAACAGCAUGGCGGUUGCAUCCCCAGGAAGCAGGCCCGCAGCGCCAGGAGGGGGUUUCCUGAGGACAGAGGCCCUUGUCCUGAUUGUCGCAGCAGGCCCUGUCGAUGGACUUAACUGUGAAAAUCACCCUUUCAGGGGUGGAUGCAAGGACUUCUGAGGGCGGAGAAGUAGAUACCUUCCUGGAUAGCUGUGGAGCCGGGGUCCUGCAUUUCCCUCUGGCGUCUCUGCUGACUGAGAUGUGAAGCAGUCGGCCCAUGUCCCGAGAAGAGGUUGGCCACAACUCUGUGCCACAUCCUCUUCAUUUUAGAAUCCAGGAUGAAGGAUAUGCCCUUAUCUGGGCACUUCUCCUUGCUGCUGCCAUGUGAAGAAGGACAUGUU